RNAcentral lists this ribosomal RNA (253 nucleotides) under uncultured bacterium. RNAcentral describes it as "partial 16S ribosomal RNA". It matches the Rfam family "Bacterial small subunit ribosomal RNA", at positions 524 to 776 of the family's 1533-position model. The record is from RNAcentral.
UACGAAGGGGGCUAGCGUUGUUCGGAUUUACUGGGCGUAAAGCGUGCGCAGGCGGUUUUGUAAGUCUGUCGUGAAAGCCCCGGGCUCAACCUGGGAAUUGCGAUGGAGACUGCAAGGCUUGAAUCUGGCAGAGGGGGAUAGAAUUCCACGUGUAGCAGUGAAAUGCGUAGAGAUGUGGAGGAACACCGAUGGCGAAGGCAGCCCCCUGGGUCAAGAUUGACGCUCAUGCACGAAAGCGUGGGGAGCAAACAGG